GGGUGCCUGAUGCUUUCUGUCUCAGGUACGCGCUGAGCAGAAAGAGAAAAGGCCCCGAGUGAUUUUUCAAUCAACCCGAGGCCCCUCGUAUGCUAGACACAUGCAAGGUUAGCCUCUUACGCCGUCGAAAGCAAUAUCCGCUGCUGUCUAUA
RNAcentral lists this antisense RNA (152 nucleotides) under Pluralibacter gergoviae. RNAcentral describes it as "Enterobacter gergoviae sok antitoxin (CssrC)". It matches the Rfam family "sok antitoxin (CssrC)". Rfam says of the family: Also identified in Shigella as CssrC. Lineage: Bacteria; Pseudomonadati; Pseudomonadota; Gammaproteobacteria; Enterobacterales; Enterobacteriaceae. The record is from Rfam by way of RNAcentral.